UGUGGCAGAAUAGUGCAAUAAAUUUAAGAUUUAUAAAAAAAGUAAACCUUUCAUUAGA
RNAcentral lists this transfer RNA (58 nucleotides) under Dilophotes sp. K LB-2014. RNAcentral describes it as "tRNA-Leu". The record is from RNAcentral. Lineage: Eukaryota; Metazoa; Arthropoda; Insecta; Coleoptera; Lycidae.